UUGAUUAUCAAGGCAAUGACUUCAGAGCUAUAAUCUAUGAGUUAAUGCCUGGAAGAAGUUUAUAAAGCUGGUUAUAUCCACAAAAAGAUGUAGAAAAAGUAGGUACGUGAACUCAGAAGUCUUAAUCUUGAGCAGAGAUUAAAAUAUCACCAUCAAAGUUGCUUCUGCACUCGAGUAUCUUUAUCUUCACCGUCAUUGUCAACCAUCAAUAGUAUGAUGCAUGGAAAUGGUUUCUCCGUGUCGGAAUGGUUUCUCCUUGUCGUAAACGUUUCCGACACUCUCUUUCUUUAGAAAGCUUGAGAUCAAUGUGGGUUGAAUGGAAAUCGUAAAUGCGGAGGGAAAGAUAGGAAUUGAAACCGAUGUAGGUGAAUGGAAAUUGUAAAUGCAGAGGGAAAGAUAGGAUUUGAA
Molecule: unclassified non-coding RNA, 408 nt
Filed under: Hevea brasiliensis (rubber tree)
Lineage: Eukaryota; Viridiplantae; Streptophyta; Magnoliopsida; Malpighiales; Euphorbiaceae
Source: RNAcentral